This 253-nucleotide ribosomal RNA is filed under the name uncultured bacterium. RNAcentral describes it as "partial 16S ribosomal RNA". It matches the Rfam family "Bacterial small subunit ribosomal RNA", at positions 524 to 776 of the family's 1533-position model. The record is from RNAcentral.
CACGUAGGGGGCAAGCGUUGUCCGGAAUUACUGGGCGUAAAGGGCGUGUAGGCGGUCUUUUAAGUCAGUGGUGAAAAGUAAGGGCUCAACCCUUACCUUGCCAUUGAAACUGAAAGACUUGAGGGCAGGAGAGGUAAGUGGAAUUCCUAGUGUAGCGGUGAAAUGCGUAGAUAUUAGGAAGAACACCAGUGGCGAAGGCGACUUACUGGCCUGUCUCUGACGCUGAGGCGCGAAAGCGUGGGGAGCGAACAGG